Molecule: ribosomal RNA, 254 nt
Filed under: uncultured prokaryote
Description: partial 16S ribosomal RNA
Rfam family: Bacterial small subunit ribosomal RNA
Source: RNAcentral
ACGGAGGAUCCAAGCGUUAUCCGGAAUUACUGGGCGUAAAGAGUUGCGUAGGUGGCAAAGUAAGUUGGUAGUGAAAGCGUGGGGCUCAACCUCAUAUCCAUUACCAAAACUGCUUAGCUAGAGGAUGAGAGAGGUCGCUGGAAUUCCUAGUGUAGGAGUGAAAUCCGUAGAUAUUAGGAGGAACACCGAUGGCGUAGGCAGGCGACUGGCUCAUUCCUGACACUAAGGCACGAAAGCGUGGGGAGCAAACGGGA